This 61-nucleotide non-coding RNA is filed under the name Pantoea agglomerans. Lineage: Bacteria; Pseudomonadati; Pseudomonadota; Gammaproteobacteria; Enterobacterales; Erwiniaceae. The record is from RNAcentral.
GAGCACGACAUUGCUCACAUUGCUUCCAGUAUUGUUGCCCGCCUUUUGGCGGGCUUUUUUU